GGGCUGGGUUUUCCUGUGAAUCACCGUUCCUUGAUUCUGAGAUUUCGGAGGGUACGAAGAAGAGCAGUAGCUGAAAGAUUUACCUGCUGAUUUGGGCUUCUUAAAUCUAGAUUCGCCUUUUAUGUGUUUAAGAGCGAUAUUUACAUUCAAAUCAGCCUUUUAUAAUUGCAUUUUAAAUUAUAAUGAAAUGAUGGAGCCGGGGCUGCGGUCUUCCCUAGGUUUUUACAGUACGAGCCACUCUGCUGGGCUGCAUGUCACAUUCCCCCCCCCCCCCCCGCCCCCGGGUUCCCCACCAGGCGUAAACAGGCCUUGGCAGGGGGCUGCUGGCCUGGAGGACCCCCUGUGCCCUGAGCGCGUCAGGGUCCGUGCAUGUCACCUGCGGGGCCCUCCCCGCCCUGCCAGGAGGGAAAGGGCUUGUGGCUGGGGAUUCUGGCCCCAACCCAGUGGCAAGGCUGCCAAGCCUUGCGGCAUGCGGUUCAGUCUGAGAAGGGCCUGGUUUGGGCCUGGCUGUGUCCUGGGCCCCGCGCUGACCCGCCGCCCUAGGGUCGAGGCCACUAUCUCCUGGAUGGCCAGCGGGGCACAGCAGCGGCCGCUUCUGGUGGUGGUGACGUUGGGUGUGUCGGGGUGGGGGCCUGCCCGCCUUCUCCUGCAGCCCUAAGCCAGGUUGCACCUCCUUUCUCCCAUCGGGGUGGCACCCAGAUGGCCCCGUGGUUUUCAGUGGCUUCCCCCAGGGAGCUCGAGGGACCCUCUCCUCCUGGGGCCAGGUUGUUGGCAGCCGUGCCAAGCCGUUCCUGGAAUGGCAUUCCCAGCGUUCCUGGUCGGGCGCGUGGCAUCGGAAUCCUACCUGCUUUGUCUCUGGCAUCAGCUGGUGAGCUAGUCACGUGGCCGUGUGCGUGAGCCCGGAGCCCGAGGACCAGAGGACUCCUCCCGGCUGCUUCCUUCUUGCUCGCUCACCCCCCCACCCUUGUGCUUUGGGCACGGCCGUCUCUGAGCAGGCAUAAAGCAGUAUUACAAUAAAACGUACUCCAGGCAGCCGGGGGAGCUCCAUCCACAGAUGCUGAGGGUGCAGCCCGCCCCGGCCCUCCCAUCGCUACCUACCCGCAGAAAGGCCCGCCAGCUGGGGAGCAGGCCCGGGGCCCGUGGUGAGCUCUGGCCGCCGCGGCCCAGCCUCAGUCCCCCCAUGCUGUCUCUUCUGCUCCCAGAGCUGGCCUUGCCUGCCCGGGGGCCCCUGCCCACGCUUGCAGCCUCUGGCUCACCCUGCACAGGGACAGCCCGCGGUCAUCGCCUCAGCUCCUGGCCACAGAAAGGGCCGAAGGCUGGCCGCGUGGCCCGGUGCCUGCAGGAGAGGGCCGCCCGGUCUGAUAGCUCUCCAAAUCCAAGGGCCCACCUUAGAACCUCGGGCCCACUCAUCCAGGUCAGGCAGGGCCGCCUUUCGUCCCUGGGGUGGGGAUUUGCCCUGGUGAAACCGGUGGAUCUGUGACCGUCCGUGUGGCGUGCGGUGAGGGUCCGGGAGCCGACCCUGGUGCCUGGCUGUGUGCGUUUCUGAUCGUGUCAUCUCUGCAGGCCCCCAAGUGGUAGGAGCCACGGUCUGUGUGCCGAGUACAGGGUACGGCGGGCGGGGGGAAUCUGAGGCUGGCAGAGGUGGCCUGGCCGGCCCAGGGGCAGGUGGCCGCUCGGAUGCAGGGCCAGGGCAAAGCGGGGGGGCCCGGCUCUCAGUCCGGCCGCCCCAGCCUCCCGGGGCGUGGGCUGGAGUGGGCUCGCCCCGGUGCUGGCCGCCGCCUGCCCCGCGGCCGGCGGGCCCGGCGCGGGAACAAUGCGGCCUCUAUCCCCCGAGCAGGCGGGCCGCCUGCAACAUGGCGCCCGGGCCGCGCCGCCUGUGCGCAGGGAGGGCUGGCACCCGGGCUGGCACCCGGGCCGGCCCGGCUCCCGGCGUCCCCCUCGGGCCGGCCGCUGAGUGGCCAGACGCUCCUGCUGCCUCCGCCCUCUCCCACUCGGCCGGCCCCCCUUCCCGGUGGUGGGUUUGGGGGUCCGGCCCACCCGCCUCUGCCACGUCUGCCAUCCUCCCGGCACCCAUGAGCAUCUUUCAAAAAUUCCCGGUGGGCGGGGCCGAGCCGCAGCGGCUGCCUCUGGCCCCCCCUUCCCCGGGCAGCCAGUGCCAGAUGAGAGCAGGAGACAAAAGUAGCAUUUUCCUCGUCCCCCUGGGCUGGCAGCAGGGCCUCCCUACCGCCACUUGGCUCCUGGCAGCCCUGCCUCCGGGGGCCAGGGUGGCCAAGGCCCAGGCUGCGCCGGCCAGGACCGAGGGACCGAGGGACGGUGGUGGCCGGAGACCAGGCGCCCGAGGGCCUGCGGGACCGGGGCUGGCCCCCCCCCGGGCCAGCGGGACCUGCCCUCCUCCGCUUGCCACGGGGACCGCCGGCCGGGGACACCGUGUUCGCUUCCCGGCUUCGCGAUGCUGCGCGUCCUCCCGCACCGGGUGAGUCCCUUCCUCCCUCCUCCCGGGCCGGAGACAAGGAGGGCUCUGCCAUCUUGUGUCGGUGCGGGUUAGCGUUUCCUUGGCUCUAAUUGGUUCUCCGAAAUUCAAAAUUCUAUUUCAGGGCCCCCCCCAUAUCUUCAGUGAAGUAAGCCCUUCCAAAAACUGCAGGGAAAAUGUAGACGCCAAACCUGGUUAUUUUUAAGAUCCAAAGCCACAGGCUUGAGGAAUCAUCAUAAAAAUGAAUGUUUGUUAUCUCACAGUAGCUGCAUGUUCAAUUAUCAUUUGAACGACUGUUUCAGGAGGUAUUCGUACGCACGGCCUACUCUUUCAUGCUCAGUUGUGUCAGUUUCGGGGGGGGGGGUCUCAUUAUUAUUAUCAUCAUCAUUGUCAUUAUUAUUUUAAUUUUGGGUGGUGCCAGGGGUGGCACAGGGAAAAACACCAGAACCAUCCAUGCUCCUUCCAGCAAACUCCUCGGCAGGCAGGGCCAGGCUGGCACACGGGAGGGUGGGUGCUGCUUUGAGAAACAGAGGCCCUUUCAUUUCAUCCGGCAUCUUGAAUGCUGCCAUGUCCACAAGUUUAGGAAUCCAGUUCUUUCUCCCUUUUAUUUUAUUUUUGGGGGGGCCGGGGGGGGGAAGAAGAAGCUCUUUUCGGUGCUCAGCUCAGUGUGGGGGAAAUCUCUUCGGUUGUUUGGGGCUUUGUUUUUUUAAGCACUUAUUUAAGCCCGGGGCUUCCAGCUAGCCUUGCCCUGCCUGGUUUAUAACUGCCCUGCCCACAGACGGCUCACGGGGGGCACGUCCACCAGACCAGCCCUCGGGGGCCCUGAGUGGUCCCAGGGCCUGCCUGUGCCCUGAUCCUGUCCUGGUUUCCCACCUGCAGAGCUGUGGCCCCAGCCAUCCUGACUGGCCAGGGCUGAACGGUGGACCGUCGGGCAGGGAGUCAGUCCCCAGGCCACGCUGCCGCUGCUGUCCAGGAACUGGGGUCCAUGGCUGCCCGCGUUUCUCUGUUGGUCCCUGAAGCUUUUCAUUUAAGACGUGGUCUUUGCAGAGUGCAGCUCCAAGCUCACCUCGCUCCUCUGGCAGGCUGACAAAGCUCCCGCAGACACAGCCUGGGUUCCCCACGUUCGAGGGUAGCCAGGGUCUUGAUUUACAGAACAUGGGAGAUCAGGCCCAGGAAGUGCUGGGGUGCAACUCAGAGGAAAAUUCCCACGUAAAUAGGUUUUUUGGUUAUUUUCUGGCAUCAGAGGCGUUCGGGUCCUGUGUGUGCCGGCCUGAGCCGCCGGCUGGCCGGAGCAGACACCAGCAAAUGUUGAAAGUGAGCUCAGCGCACGAGGAAUAUCUGCGGCCGCUUUUGUUCUUAGAUUAGACAGCAGUCGGUACUGGAGGACUUGGGGCUGCAGAGACAGGCAUCUCUGUAGCAGAGAUAAUUAAAACAUUUUCAUGACUAUGACAGCCACAUUCUGCUGCUGCAAGCUGGAAGAUCACUCCACCCAAAUAUUUAGCAAGCACCAAAUAAAACACUGGUGGCAAAAUAAAAGUAAUAGCAAGAAACAGAGUGUCAUAAAUUCUAAAGGCAGAGGAGUCGAGAGACUAGAGAAGCUGGUAGAGGGGGCGGGGAGGGGGGUAAUCAUUUGGAAAGAAUUUAGACUUCUCAGAGCUGCCCACUCCUCCUUUUUUUUUUAAUUUUAUUUUUUGUUAUAAUUAACGUUGGUGAAUCGGCCUUUAAUUCUAAAUCCUGGAGCGAUAGUCCCAUUUCCUGAGAGUUAACUCGCCGUCUUUUUGGACAGGGUAGGGGCAGGUAGCAUAAAAUCAAUUAAUCUCCAUAAAUGAGCAUUUUCCCUCUAAAUUAGUAUCUUCCUCUGAGGUUCUGUUCCUCUAAUCGUCUUACUGUAUCUGGAUAAUACAUUUUCCAGCAUACAUCUUAUGCAGUUGGGAUAGUUAGAUGAGACCAAAUAUCAUCUUAGUUUUUUAACUCGGGUCGUAACACUUUAUCUUUCCCAAACAGUAAAAUUCCAUGAAGGUUUUUGUUUGUUUGUUUGGUUUUGUUUUUUUAAUCAGGCAAAAAUAUCAGCAUUCUCCAUGGUACCCAGUACGUAGCGAUAUUUUUUUCGAAGAAAGUACCACGCAUCUCAGUUUUCACAUGAUCUCGCUUCUAUAUAAAUUCCACUAUAGACUGAAAUUAUACAUUCUCGCAGCACAGAUGGGCUGGUCUGUCAUUACGACUGCUGGGUCCUUGUUGGAACACACAGCAUAUUUCAGUGUGGCGUCGACAAUUUCGAAGAACUGAGGUCAAAAUAAACAAGUUGCAUUUGUGUAUAAAAACAGCCUUAUUAAAUGAUCUUCUGAUCCCCCGGGGGGGGGGGAAAUGGGUAGAGGAACAACCAUCACCUUCAUUAAACUUUAAUUUCACAUUUGAUCUUUCAGCUGCACCUUUUGAAGACUCCAAACGCCUUCUGUCAGAGGAGCUUACCUGUUGUAAUCAAUUACCAAUUUUUAGUCUUGUUUGCCUCAUGAACGGUGUGACCCUAGGUGUAUAUUCAAAAUGAUGGGGUUUGGCACUUUUUGAUUUUAAUAUCAUCAUAAUCUCUAUAGGAAAGACAUUCAGUCCUUAACUGUCCUAUGUAGACGUCCAUAAAAUUAUUUUGAGAAGCUUCCCCAAAAAUCAGAUGAUCACUAUUUUGCCUGGUCGAAAGGUACAUUGAAGUCCCAGCUGAAAUAAAUAAGUAAAUAAAUAAACUCAACAGGUAAACGACACAGAGUAGC
RNAcentral lists this long non-coding RNA (5232 nucleotides) under Sus scrofa (pig). RNAcentral's name for it is "lncRNA (ENSSSCG00000052992.1)". Lineage: Eukaryota; Metazoa; Chordata; Mammalia; Artiodactyla; Suidae. The record is from RNAcentral.